RNAcentral lists this ribosomal RNA (479 nucleotides) under uncultured bacterium. Its description in RNAcentral is "partial 16S ribosomal RNA". It matches the Rfam family "Bacterial small subunit ribosomal RNA", at positions 28 to 507 of the family's 1533-position model. The record is from RNAcentral.
GAUGAACGCUAGCGGGAGGCCUAACACAUGCAAGCCGAGCGGUAUUUGUUCUUCGGAACAGAGAGAGCGGCGCACGGGUGCGGAACACGUGUGCAACCUGCCUUUAUCUGGGGGAUAGCCUUUCGAAAGGAAGAUUAAUACCCCAUAAUAUAUUGAGUGGCAUCAUUUGAUAUUGAAAACUCCGGUGGAUAGAGAUGGGCACGCGCAAGAUUAGAUAGUUGGUGAGGUAACGGCUGACCAAGUCAAUGAUCUUUAGGGGGCCUGAGAGGGUGAGCCCCCACACUGGUACUGAGACACGGACCAGACUCCUACGGGAGGCAGCAGUGAGGAAUAUUGGACAAUGGGUUAGCGCCUGAUCCAGCCAUCCCGCGUGAAGGACGACGGCCCUAUGGGUUGUAAACUUCUUUUGUAUAGGGAUAAACCUACUCUCGUGAGAGUAGCUGAAGGUACUAUACGAAUAAGCACCGGCUAACUCCGUG